AGGAUUGGGGACGAGCUGAGGGCAGCGACGACCUCCUCAUCCAGCCUGGUCCCGGCCUUGAGCACGGCAGCGACCACCCCGUCCUUCCCCGUCUCCUCCUCGAUCUGCCUGCUCCACCUGCAGACCAUUCUUAUUAGAUGUGAUGGAACAAGUGAUGGACCUGAAAAAGAGAUGAUCAACUAGCCAGCAGCUAUGAUUGAGAAGAAGUGGUGGCGUGUGAACAAAGAUGGCUGUGACUGUGAGCACAGCUUGCUUCCAUUGGACCAAGGUGGUGGUGAAGGAAAGGCUUUGUACAUUGACGCACAUGGGACAUUCAGACCACAGAGGCUCCUCCAGAUAGCUAACAGGUGACU
This is a long non-coding RNA of Lolium rigidum, 353 nucleotides long. RefSeq lists it as uncharacterized. The record is from RefSeq and is a predicted model, not a curated record. The transcript is spliced from 3 exons. Lineage: Eukaryota; Viridiplantae; Streptophyta; Magnoliopsida; Poales; Poaceae.